RNAcentral lists this ribosomal RNA (497 nucleotides) under uncultured bacterium. Its description in RNAcentral is "partial 16S ribosomal RNA". It matches the Rfam family "Bacterial small subunit ribosomal RNA", at positions 28 to 507 of the family's 1533-position model. The record is from RNAcentral.
GACGAACGCUGGCGGCGUGCCUAAUACAUGCAAGUUGAGCGCGGAAGGUUGGGACUUGUACCAACUGGAUGAGCAGCGAACGGGUGAGUAACGCGUGGGGAAUCUGCCUUUGAGCGGGGGACAACAUUUGGAAACGAAUGCUAAUACCGCAUAAAAACUUUAAACACAAGUUUUAAGUUUGAAAGAUGCAAUUGCAUCACUCAAAGAUGAUCCCGCGUUGUAUUAGCUAGUUGGUGAGGUAAAGGCUCACCAAGGCGAUGAUACAUAGCCGACCUGAGAGGGUGAUCGGCCACAUUGGGACUGAGACACGGCCCAAACUCCUACGGGAGGCAGCAGUAGGGAAUCUUCGGCAAUGGACGAAAGUCUGACCGAGCAACGCCGCGUGAGUGAAGAAGGUGUUCGGAUCGUAAAACUCUGUUGGUAGAGAAGAACGUUGGUGAGAGUGGCAAGCUCAUCAAGUGACGGUAACUACCCAGAAAGGGACGGCUAACUACGUG